AUUGAACGCUGGCGGCAGGCCUAACACAUGCAAGUCGAGCGAGCGGCGGACGGGUGAGUAAUGUAUGGGGACUGCCCGAUAGAGGGGGAUAACUACUCGAAACGGUGGCUAAUACCGCAUACUAUUGGAUAACCCAUAUGGGAUUCGCUAGUAGGUGGGGUAAAGGCUCACCUAGGCGACGAUCUCUAGCUGGGCUGAGAGGAUGAUCAGCCACACUGGGACUGAGACAGGGCCCAGACUCAUACGGAGGCAGCAGUGGGGAAUAUUGCACAAUGGGCGCAAGCCUGAUGCAGACAUGCCGCGUGUAUGAAGAAGGCCUUAGGGUUGUAAAGUACUUUCAGCGGGGAGGCGUUACCCGCAGAAGAAGCACCGGCUAACUACGUGCCAGCCGCCGCGGUAAUUC
RNAcentral lists this ribosomal RNA (403 nucleotides) under uncultured bacterium. RNAcentral describes it as "partial 16S ribosomal RNA". It matches the Rfam family "Bacterial small subunit ribosomal RNA", at positions 30 to 526 of the family's 1533-position model. The record is from RNAcentral.